ACGGGAGGCAGCAGUGGGGAAUAUUGGACAAUGGGGGAAACCCUGAUCCAGCGACGCCGCGUGAGUGAAGAAGUAUUUCGGUAUGUAAAGCUCUUUAAGCUGGGAAGAAAAUGACGGUACCAGCAGAAUAAGUCCCGGCUAACUACGUGCCAGCAGCCGCGGUAAUACGUAGGGGACAAGCGUUAUCCGGAUUUACUGGGUGUAAAGGGAGCGUAGACGGCAAUGCAAGUCUGAAGUGAAAGCCCGUGGCUUAACUGCGGAACUGCUUUGGAAACUGUAUAGCUAGAGUGUCGGAGAGGUGAGUGGAAUUCCUAGUGUAGCGGUGAAAUGCGUAGAUAUUAGGAGGAACACCAGUGACGAAGGCGGCUUACUGGACUGUAACUGACGUUGAGGCUCGAAAGCGUGGGGAGCAAACAGGAUUAGAUACCCUGGUA
Molecule: ribosomal RNA, 434 nt
Filed under: uncultured Clostridium sp.
Lineage: Bacteria; Bacillati; Bacillota; Clostridia; Eubacteriales; Clostridiaceae
Description: partial 16S ribosomal RNA
Rfam family: Bacterial small subunit ribosomal RNA
Source: RNAcentral